RNAcentral lists this ribosomal RNA (487 nucleotides) under uncultured bacterium. RNAcentral describes it as "bacterial SSU rRNA". It matches the Rfam family "Bacterial small subunit ribosomal RNA", at positions 8 to 479 of the family's 1533-position model. The record is from RNAcentral.
AGAGUUUGAUCCUGGCUCAGNACGAACNCUGGCGGCGUGNNUAAUACAUGCAAGUCAAGCGAAACUUUGGGAGCUUGCUCCUAAAGGUUAGCGNCGGACGGGUGAGUAACACGUGGGCAACCUGCCUAUAAGACUGGGAUAACUUCGGGAAACCGGAGCUAAUACCGGAUCAUUCUUUUCUACACAUGUAGAAAAGCUAAAAGACGGUUUACGCUGUCACUUAUAGAUGGGNCCGCGGCGCAUUAGCUAGUUGGUGAGGUAACGGCUCACCAAGGCCACGAUGCGUAGCCGACCUGAGAGGGUGAUCGGACACACUGGGACUGAGACACGGCCCAGACUCCUACGGGAGGCAGCAGUGGGGAAUUGUUCACAAUGGGCGCAAGCCUGAUGACGCAACACCGCGUGGAGGAUGAAGGUCUUCGGAUUGUAAACUCCUGUUGCUCGGGACGAAAAGCCUCGACCUAAUACGUCGAGGUCUGACGGUACC